UACGUAGGGGGCAAGCGUUGUCCGGAAUCAUUGGGCGUAAAGCGCUCGUAGGUGGAUCGGUAAGUCUGCAAAGAAAGACCCGGGCUCAACUCGGGGAACGGUGUGGAUACUACCGAUCUUGAGGCAAUCAGAGGAUGAUGGAAUUCCCGGUGUAGCGGUGAAAUGCGUAGAUAUCGGAAGGAACACCUGUGGCGAAAGCGGCUCACUGGACCAUUACUGACGCUGAGGCACGAAAGCUAGGGGAGCAAACAGG
This 253-nucleotide ribosomal RNA is filed under the name uncultured bacterium. Its description in RNAcentral is "partial 16S ribosomal RNA". It matches the Rfam family "Bacterial small subunit ribosomal RNA", at positions 524 to 776 of the family's 1533-position model. The record is from RNAcentral.